CAAUCUGGAGAUUUCUCAGAAAACUGGAAAUGGAUCUACCUGAAGACCCAGCUAUACCACUCUUGGGCAAAUCCCCAAAAGAUGCCCCACCAUGCCACAGGGGCACGCUUUCAACUAUGUUCAUAGUAGCCUUGUUUGAACUCUACAAGGUUAACAAGGCAAAGGGCCCAAGUAAGGAUGCCUCAAUCCCACUUGGGAGGGAGAAGAAGGCAAUCACAAGAAGAGGAAUGAAGCAAGGGAUCCUGUGACAAAGGGAUCUGGAAGGGGAUGAGGGAAAAACACGAUCAGGUAUUUGGUGGGUGGAGAUAGGAUUGAUUGAGGU
This 322-nucleotide long non-coding RNA is filed under the name Rattus norvegicus (Norway rat). Its description in RNAcentral is "long non-coding RNA NONRATT011491". Lineage: Eukaryota; Metazoa; Chordata; Mammalia; Rodentia; Muridae. The record is from RNAcentral.